RNAcentral lists this ribosomal RNA (253 nucleotides) under uncultured bacterium. Its description in RNAcentral is "partial 16S ribosomal RNA". It matches the Rfam family "Bacterial small subunit ribosomal RNA", at positions 524 to 776 of the family's 1533-position model. The record is from RNAcentral.
UACGUAGGGCGCAAGCGUUGUCCGGAAUUAUUGGGCGUAAAGAGCUCGUAGGCGGUUUGUCGCGUCUGCUGUGAAAACCUAAGGCUCAACCUUGGGCUUGCAGUGGGUACGGGCAGACUAGAGUGCGGUAGGGGUGACUGGAAUUCCUGGUGUAGCGGUGGAAUGCGCAGAUAUCAGGAGGAACACCGAUGGCGAAGGCAGGUCACUGGGCCGCAACUGACGCUGAGGCGCGAAAGCUAGGGGAGCGAACAGG